Molecule: transfer RNA, 73 nt
Filed under: Stegodyphus mimosarum
Lineage: Eukaryota; Metazoa; Arthropoda; Arachnida; Araneae; Eresidae
Rfam family: tRNA
About the family: Transfer RNA (tRNA) molecules are approximately 80 nucleotides in length. Their secondary structure includes four short double-helical elements and three loops (D, anti-codon, and T loops).
Source: Rfam by way of RNAcentral
GCCUUCGUGGUGCAGUGGUCAGCACACUCGGCGCGUAUCCGAGAAGUUCGUGGUUCAAGUCCCGGCGAGGACA